RNAcentral lists this ribosomal RNA (2198 nucleotides) under Acidiferrobacteraceae bacterium. RNAcentral describes it as "partial 23S ribosomal RNA". It matches the Rfam family "Bacterial large subunit ribosomal RNA", at positions 3 to 2048 of the family's 2925-position model. The record is from RNAcentral. Lineage: Bacteria; Pseudomonadati; Pseudomonadota; Gammaproteobacteria; Acidiferrobacterales; Acidiferrobacteraceae.
CCAAGCUACUAAGGGUCAACGGUGAAUGCCUUGGCGCCUACUACCGAAGAAGGACGUGGACGGCUGCGAAAAGCCACGGGGAUCUGCCUAUCUAGAGUUGAUCCGUGGAUAUCCGAAUAGGGAAACCUGGUACUCGUAACGGAGUACCACGCCGGUCUGAAUACAUAGGGCCGGCCGAGGGAACCGGGUGAAUUGAAACAUCUAAGUAACCCGAGGAAAAGAAAGCAAAAGCGACACCCCGAGUAGCGGCGAGCGAAACGGGUAGAGCCUAAACCAUUCUGGUGUCAAGCCUGACGGCAUUGCCAGGGUGGGGUCGUGGGACCGAAUAGGAGGGGCGUCAGACCUUCCACAGAGUUACAAAUCUGUCAGUUAGCAGAAGUGUUUUGGAAAAGCACGCCGCAGUGGGUAAUAGCCCCGUAAGCGAAAACUGUACAGACUCUGUUUCGUCAUCCCGAGUAACACCGGAUCCGGGAAAGCCGGUGUGAAUCUGCGAGGACCACCUCGUAAGGCUAAGUAUAGGUAGGCGACCGAUAGUGAACUAGUACCGUGAGGGAAAGGUGAAAAGUACCCCGGGAGGGGAGUGAAAUAGUACCUGAAACCGUUGAUCUACAAUCAGUCAAAGCGUCGUCUCGAGUUUACUCGAGGCCGCAAUGGCGUGCCUUUUGAAGAAUGAGCCAACGAGUUACGGUGUGUGGCAAGGUUAACCCGUGAGGGGAAGCCGGAGCGAAAGCGAGUCUGAAUAGGGCGUUCAGUCGCAUGCUGUAGACCCGAAGCUGAGUGAUCUAUCCAUGGGCAGUGUGAAGCGGAGGUAAGACUCCGUGGAGGCGCGAACCGACCUAGGUUGAAAACUGGGCGGAUGACCUGUGGAUAGGGGUGAAAGGCCAAUCAAACUCAGUGAUAGCUGGUUCUCCGCGAAAUGCAUUUAGGUGCAGCGUCGUAUGUUCAGCCAUGGAGGUAGAGCACUGGAUGGGUUAGGGGGCCUACAAGCUUACCAACCCCAGCCAAACUCCGAAUGCCAUGGCUCCAGAGUACGGCAGUGAGUCCUCGGGGGAUGAGCUUCGAUGGACGAGAGGGAAACAGCCCAGACCGCCGACUAAGGUCCCAAAGUUAAGACUAAGUGGUAAACGAAGUGGGAUUGCCCAGACAGCCAGGAUGUUGGCUUAGAAGCAGCCAUCAUUUAAAGAGUGCGUAACAGCUCACUGGUCGAGUGGUCCCGCGCGGAAAAUGUAACGGGGCUCAAGUCUUACACCGAAGUCGCGGAUUUCUACUUUUAAGUAGGAGUGGUAGCGGAGCGUCGAGUCUGCAGUGAAGCGCCGGUGAAAACCGUCGUGGAGCGGGCUCGAGCGAGAAUGUUGGCAUAAGUAGCGAGAGAGGGGUGAGAAACCCCUCCGCCGAAAAUCCAAGGGUUCCUGGGCAAGGCUAAUCCUCCCAGGGUAAGUCGGGAGCUAAGGCGAGGCCGAGAGGCGUAGUCGAUGCACAACCGGUUGAUAUUCCGGUACCACGGAUUGCGCGUAAAACGCCAACCCACGGUUGCUAAGGGGAUGUCUAGUCCUUCGGGACUAGAAGGAACUGACCCACUGUGGUUAGGUGAGUGAUGCAGGGACGCAGGAAGGUAAAUGAACCCAGGCGAUGGUUGUCCUGGGGCAAGCGUGUAGGUCGAGGCGUAGGUAAGUCCGCUCCUCAUAAAGACUGAGACGUGAUGCCGAGCCGUUUUAGGCGAAGUCAUUGAUCCUAUGCUGCCGAGAAAAGCUGCUAGCGAGUGCAAUCAGUGCCCGUACCCCAAACCAACUCAGGUGGAUAGGUAGAGAAUACCAAGGCGAUUGGGAGAACUAUGGUUAAGGAACUCGGCAAAAUACAUCCGUAACUUCGGGAUAAGGAUGACCUCAUUAGGGUUACAGGCUUUACGCCUGGAAGCUCGAAGAGGUGGCACAGACCAGAGGAAAGCGACUGUUUACUAAAAACACAGCAGCGUGCUAAGUCCUAAGACGACGUAUACGCUGUGACGCCUGCCCGGUGCUGGAAGGUUACGGGGAAAGGUUAGCCUUCGGGCGAAGCUUUGAACCUAAGCCCCAGUAAACGGCGGCCGUAACUAUAACGGUCCUAAGGUAGCGAAAUUCCUUGUCGGGUAAGUUCCGACCUGCACGAAUGGCGUAACGACUUUCCUACUGUCUCAACCAUAGACCCAGCGAAAUUGAAGU